CCACUGGUCCUGCUCUGUUUGUCGGCAAGAAUGAGCCGCUGGGAGGAGGAAUGUUUCCCAGACGGGGGGUGAGGAGCCAUUUGGAUGUAGCAGCAAAGUAUGAACUCCUGAAGGAGAAAAAGAUAAAAGAGGGGAGCAAAGUGAUGGAGGUAUCACUCUCUCUGUGGAUGGCCAGCAGUUUCUGCUCUGUCUGCAAAACAUUUCCACAUCUUCCACAUGAUCUUCCUAAGGAACACUCAACCCAGUGUGUUUUGAUGGAAAUAUCUGAGCACUCUGCAGUGGGAGAAGUGAGAGAAACUAUGCUACAUCCUGCAAGACUGGACUGGAGGAAGUUUGAGCCUUCUCAGUGAUCUUAAGCUUUUCUGCCUUGAGGGACUGGUGGAAGAAGGUUAGGAAAAUCAUCAGUUCAGAAAAGAUUCCUCCAGAUGUGAAGUCUGAUAUCAGUCAGCUUCAGAGAAAUAGCAGCAGCUGAGCUGAGGACCUGCAAGCGUCAGCCCCAGGCAUGGUUCCUCGGCCAACGGGGAAGCACCUUGCCCUCCCCUCUCGCUGCCCGGUUUCUGUGCCUCAGCUCCUGCUCCAUCUGGCCAGACGUGAGCGGUGGGAUUUGGGUCCAGGCUGUCUUCGUGUCACCGUGUGGGGACAGGCAGAGCCGCCUGCGCUGCCCCCCGCA
Non-coding RNA from Lonchura striata (white-rumped munia), 670 nucleotides. Lineage: Eukaryota; Metazoa; Chordata; Aves; Passeriformes; Estrildidae. The record is from RefSeq and is a predicted model, not a curated record.